AACGCGAAGAACCUUACCAGGUCUUGACAUCCUCUGAAAACUCUAGAGAUAGAGCUUCUCCUUCGGGAGCAGAGUGACAGGUGGUGCAUGGUUGUCGUCAGCUCGUGUCGUGAGAUGUUGGGUUAAGUCCCGCAACGAGCGCAACCCUUGAUCUUAGUUGCCAUCAUUAAGUUGGGCACUCUAAGGUGACUGCCGGUGACAAACCGGAGGAAGGUGGGGAUGACGUCAAAUCAUCAUGCCCCUUAUGACCUGGGCUACACACGUGCUACAAUGGACGGUACAAAGAGCUGCAAGACCGCGAGGUGGAGCUAAUCUCAUAAAACCGUUCUCAGUUCGGAUUGUAGGCUGCAACUCGCCUACAUGAAGCUGGAAUCGCUAGUAAUCGCGGAUCAGCAUGCCGCGGUGAAUACGUUCCCGGGCCUUGUA
Molecule: ribosomal RNA, 426 nt
Filed under: uncultured Bacillota bacterium
Lineage: Bacteria; Bacillati; Bacillota
Description: bacterial SSU rRNA
Rfam family: Bacterial small subunit ribosomal RNA
Source: RNAcentral